UGCUGUCAGAGCAUCGUUCAACUGUCUGCGAGUUAGUGUGCCGUCAUUUGUUCGCGAAUGGACACAAUAACAAAUUGUUCUCGGCUAGUUGCUGACAGAAUACAAAAUGAUAUCCAAGUGCUGAGAGUACCUUUCCAAAGAUGCAUGUUGUGGAAUACGAAGAACAUCCAAUAUAGAAAUUGUUGAAAAUAAAGAUCAAAAAUUUUACACAAAAUCGCGUUGAAGUUUAGCUGCUUAAUAGAGGAAGCUCGACGCAAAAUUCAUAAUUUAUGAAAUCAUAUGUCACAAGAAUUAAAAAAAAUAUAGCAAGAAGUAGAAGUGGCAUGGAUGAUAUAAAUAGGUAACAUAGCAACGGUAUUACAACCAGGAAGGGAGUGA
Eufriesea mexicana is the source of this 378-nucleotide long non-coding RNA. RefSeq lists it as uncharacterized. The record is from RefSeq and is a predicted model, not a curated record. Lineage: Eukaryota; Metazoa; Arthropoda; Insecta; Hymenoptera; Apidae. The transcript is spliced from 4 exons.